GACGAACCGUGCGAACGUUGUUCGGAAUCACUGGGCUUAAAGGGCGCGUAGGCGGGCUAUCAAGUCCGGGGUGAAAUCCUCCAGCUUAACUGGAGAACUGCCUCGGAUACUGAUGGUCUCGAGGAGGAUAGGGGCACACGGAACUGUGGGUGGAGCGGUGAAAUGCGUUGAUAUCCAUAGGAACUCCGGUGGCGAAAGCGGUGUGCUGGAUCCCUUCUGACGCUGAGGCGCGAAAGCCAGGG
Molecule: ribosomal RNA, 242 nt
Filed under: uncultured bacterium
Lineage: Bacteria
Description: partial 16S ribosomal RNA
Rfam family: Bacterial small subunit ribosomal RNA
Source: RNAcentral